GACGAACGCUGGCGGCGUGCCUAAUACAUGCAAGUAGAACGCUGAAGGAGGAGCUUGCUCUUCUGGAUGAGUUGCGAACGGGUGAGUAACGCGUAGGUAACCUGCCUGGUAGCGGGGGAUAACUAUUGGAAACGAUAGCUAAUACCGCAUAACAGUAGAUGUUGCAUGACAUUUACUUAAAAGGUGCAAUUGCAUCACUACCAGAUGGACCUGCGUUGUAUUAGCUAGUUGGUGGGGUAACGGCUCACCAAGGCGACGAUACAUAGCCGACCUGAGAGGGUGAUUGGCCACACUGGGACUGAGACAAGGCCCAGACUCCUACGGGAGGCAGCAGUAGGGAAUCUUCGGCAAUGGACGGAAGUCUGACCGAGCAACGCCGGGGGAGUGAAGAAGGGUUUCGGAUCGUAAAGCUCUGUUGUAAGAGAAGAACGAGUGUGAGAGUGGAAAGUUCACACUGUGACGGUAGCUUAACAGAAAGGGACGGCUAACUACGUG
RNAcentral lists this ribosomal RNA (495 nucleotides) under uncultured bacterium. RNAcentral describes it as "partial 16S ribosomal RNA". It matches the Rfam family "Bacterial small subunit ribosomal RNA", at positions 28 to 507 of the family's 1533-position model. The record is from RNAcentral.